GGAUUGUGGCUCAUUGGUAGAGCACUCGCCUAGCACAUGUGAGGCCCUGGGUUCCAUCCUCAGCACCA
RNAcentral lists this transfer RNA (68 nucleotides) under Marmota monax (woodchuck). RNAcentral describes it as "tRNA.Ala". Lineage: Eukaryota; Metazoa; Chordata; Mammalia; Rodentia; Sciuridae. The record is from RNAcentral.